Molecule: ribosomal RNA, 497 nt
Filed under: uncultured bacterium
Lineage: Bacteria
Description: partial 16S ribosomal RNA
Rfam family: Bacterial small subunit ribosomal RNA
Source: RNAcentral
GAUGAACGCUGGCGGCGUGCCUAAUACAUGCAAGUCGAGCGAACAGACGAGGAGCUUGCUCCUCUGACGUUAGCGGCGGACGGGUGAGUAACACGUGGAUAACCUACCUAUAAGACUGGGAUAACUUCGGGAAACCGGAGCUAAUACCGGAUAAUAUAUUGAACCGCAUGGUUCAAUAGUGAAAGACGGUUUUGCUGUCACUUAUAGAUGGAUCCGCGCCGCAUUAGCUAGUUGGUAAGGUAACGGCUUACCAAGGCAACGAUGCGUAGCCGACCUGAGAGGGUGAUCGGCCACACUGGGACUGAGACACGGUCCAGACUCCUACGGGAGGCAGCAGUAGGGAAUCCUGGGCAAUGGGCGAAAGCUUGACGGAGCAACGCCGCGUGAGUGAUGAAGGUCUUCGGAUCGUAAAACUCUGUUAUUAGGGAAGAACAAAUGUGUAAGUAACUAUGCACGUCUUGACGGUACCUAAACAGAAAGCCACGGCUAACUACGUG